Molecule: long non-coding RNA, 176 nt
Organism: Alosa alosa (allis shad)
Lineage: Eukaryota; Metazoa; Chordata; Actinopteri; Clupeiformes; Clupeidae
Exons: 3
Source: RefSeq, a predicted model, not a curated record
AGUCACUACCCCUCAACCUGGAGAAAACUGUUAAACACCUCACCAUGGGGCAGGACCGCAACACUCUUCACCACCUCAACUCCCUGCACCUGCAUUUAACAUACGGAGAGUUACUCAAGGAACGGCAGUCCCUCCUCAACUCCCUCCACCCCCACACCAGCCCUCAACGUGCAGCU